GUGAAUGUACCAAGUUUACUUGGAAAUUGUGUGAUUUCACGCUGCUGAAAAAAGUUUCGUAGGAAGAAAAUAUUGCCCGUACCGCAAACCGACACAGGUACUCAAGUGGAGAACACUAAGGUGAGCGAGUGAACUAUUGUUAAGGAACUCUGCAAAAUGAGUCCGUAACUUCGGAAGAAGGACUGCUGGUUUUAUACCAGCCGCAGCAAAUAGGCCCAAACAACUGUUUAUCAAAAACACAGGUUUCUGCAAAAUCGUAAGAUGAAGUAUAGGGGCUGACGCCUGCCCAGUGCUGGAAGGUUAAAAGGAGGACUUAGCUUCGGCGAAGGUCUUAAUUGAAGCCCCAGUGAACGGCGGCCGUAACUAUAACGGUCCUAAGGUAGCGAAAUUCCUUGUCGGGUAAGUUCCGACCCGCAUGAAAGGCGUAAUGAUUUGGGCGCUGUCUCAACAAUAGACUCGGUGAAAUUUAAAUUCCAGUGAAGAUGCUGGGUACCCGCGACAGGACGGAAAGACCCCGUGGAGCUUUACUGUAGCUUGAUAUUGAAUGUUUGUGCUGCAUGUGCAGGAUAGGUAGGAGACUUUGAAGUCGGAACGCUAGUUUCGAUUGAGUCACCCUUGAGAUACUACCUCUGUUGUAUGAACGUUCUAACUCUGAUCAGUUAUCCUGAUCGAAGACAGUGUCUGGCAGGCAGUUUGACUGGGGCGGUCGCCUCCUAAAAGAUAACGGAGGCGCUCAAAGGUUUGCUCAGAAUGGUUGGAAAUCAUUCGUAGCGUGUAAAGGCAUAAGCAAGCUUGACUGUGAGACUGACAAGUCGAGCAGGUACGAAAGUAGGACUUAGUGAUCCGGUGGUUCCGUAUGGAAGGGCCAUCGCUCAACGGACAAAAGCUACCCCGGGGAUAACAGGCUCAUCUCCCCCAAGAGUCCACAUCGACGGGGAGGUUUGGCACCUCGAUGUCGGCUCAUCGCAUCCUGGGGCUGUAGUCGGUCCCAAGGGUUGGGCUGUUCGCCCAUUAAAGCGGUACGCGAGCUGGGUUCAGAACGUCGUGAGACAGUUCGGUCCCUAUCCGUCGUGGGCGCAGGAAAUUUGAGAGGAUCUGUCCUUAGUACGAGAGGACCGGGAUGGACAUACCUCUGGUGUACCAGUUGUUCUGCCAAGAGCACCGCUGGGUAGCUACGUAUGGAUUAGAUAAUCGCUGAAAGCAUCUAAGUGAGAAACUAACCUCGAGAUGAGAUUUCCCAUUCGUCAGAAGUAAGACCCCUGAGAGACGAUCAGGUAGAUAGGCUAGAAGUGGAAGUGUAGUGAUGCAUGGAGCGGACUAGUACUAAUAGGUCGAGGACUUAACCAAG
RNAcentral lists this ribosomal RNA (1348 nucleotides) under Oenococcus oeni. RNAcentral describes it as "bacterial LSU rRNA". It matches the Rfam family "Bacterial large subunit ribosomal RNA", at positions 1564 to 2925 of the family's 2925-position model. Lineage: Bacteria; Bacillati; Bacillota; Bacilli; Lactobacillales; Lactobacillaceae. The record is from RNAcentral.